ACACAAUCAAGAUACUAUCAGCAGACAGAAGUCAAUUAUAUAAAAGCCAGUACCAAAAAUACCUGUUUGGCAGAAGUGGUAUCUUACUUGCACUUUUGUUCUUUGCUUCCUGUCAGAUCUACUUAGAGACAUGCCAUGUUCCUGUAUCACCUUCUGAACCUGUUAAACAGCACUCCUCAUGUUAGCAUUUGAAAUUUUGCAUACAGUAUCUUCAUUAAACUUCUAAUAUGAAUAAUAUUAGUGUCCUUUUAAAGAUGAGAUAGAAACAGAUUAUGAUGUGUUUAAAGUCAGGACUUCCUGCUGGAGUAGAAUACAGAACUCCAUCCUUGAGUUUUAAAAGAAAGACCACUUUAGUUGUGUUUUGAUUUUUUUUUUUUUAACAUUAUUUUGAGCUGGGCUUUUAACAAUUAAUACAAAAAAAUACGACAUAAUCCAGAAUAGUUGUUUAACACUGGCAUUACAUAUUUGUCCUGUCAUUCAAGAAUUAAAGAUAAACUCAGUCACAGAAAAUAAAUUCUGGUUUCAGUUCUGUUACUGAGAAAUGACUGGAAUCACUUUUUUAAUCAGAAGAUAAUGUGAAACUAUAAAUAAUUGUAUGCGUAUCAAACACCAGAAUGUCUUUGAAAAUUAUAGUGGCUUCUUGACAUAGACUUGGGGAUACUUCAUGAUCAUUAUAAUUGGAAAGUUUCUCUUAGUAUCCACUUAAGUAAACCUAUAUUUGUAGCAAAGACAGGCUAGAGAAACUUUCCAACUAUAAGGGUAGUGAUACACUAAAAUAUGCUUCCCAUGGGAGUUGUUAAAUUUCCAUUAUAGAAGUUUUAAGAAGAGGUUUAUGAAACAUCUCAUAGGGAUGGACUGUAGUAUAUUUCAUAUUGCCUGUGUGCAGAGAUGGGUGAUCUUUUGAAAUCUCUUCCAGAUCUACAUUUCUCUGAUUCUUUAUCUAAAAUACUUAGUAUCCACUAAGAGCCUUUCAGAAUAUUUAAAGACAUCCAUGAUGUUUGAUUUAUGAUGGGGAUAUAAAGUUAUAUUCUAUGAGCUAAACUAAAAAAACAGAUCCCAGAAAUAUAAAAUCAAAGACAUGGAAAAUGGUUGCAAUAAGUAUAUUUGGUCUUGGAUUUUAUUAAUGAUGUCAGAGUCACAAUAGUCAGAUUUGAUUUAUGCUGCUAAAGAUAACCUCUCAUUCCUUGGUUUCAUUUGUAUGAAGUUGCCACAGCAGGUAAAAAGACAUUAUUUAUGUCGAGGAAAAACAAAGAAUAGCAAGGAGCUAAGGAAACCAAGACUCAAUUUACUGUUCUUCUGGGAUGCACUGCCUUUCUUUCUACCAAUUUUGGUAGAAUUUUUUUGUGACUUGUGCUCAGACCUUUAUUUGUCCUUGAUUUAGCUUAUCAUAUCUAGUGCUUACCAAACUUAUACUUCAAAAUCAGUUUAUACUGAAAAAUAACUCAUAAAGCUCAUUUCAGACUGUCUUCUAGCUUUGUCCUCUUGAUGUAAAAAGCAGAGAUCUGAGCUCCCCAAAAUUUGUAAGUAGUUCACUUUUUAAAAUGUGCUUCCAUUUUAGUUUCUUGCAAUGUGCCACAGUUAAGGUUACUGCUCAAUUUCUAUGUAAGCUCCUCUGACUAAAUAUUGCAAUGUUUAAAGGGGAACUAAUCUAUUUCUGUUUUUCAUGUGCAGUUAUCUAUCAAGAGUAUUUUCCCCUGAAAGAUGAAAGAUAAUGCUCACAGCUCUGUCAGAUAGAACAGCUUAAAAGCCUUACCACAGUUUCCUGAUGAGAUUGGAAUAUUGUUUCAAGCAGGAUUUGGCUGCAGAGUACAAGUAUAGUUUAUGCUAUAAUUGUCAGUAAGCUGCAGUAUUCAUCAUAGACCUUUGAUGGCUUUGGGAAAUUAGCUGCACUGUCUUUGGUAAAGGAGGAGGGAUAGAAAAGGGACAGUUUCAAAGAGAGUCAUGUUGUCUUAGGGAUGUACUUUUUUCCUCAGUAAAUUACAUAAACUGCACCAGAGAGAGAACAGCUUGUGCACAAAUUAAUGAGGCAUUAUUUUGAAGUAUACCAGAAGACUCCAAAACAGCAGAACCUUUGCCUGAUAAUCUGAAAACUGAACUAUUUGAUGUCAACUUUGGAGUACUUCAUAGCUGUCUAUCCCCUUGAUCCCCUUAAUAGAAGUUGAUAUUACCAAGAAAGACAGCUGUUUUAGCUUCGUCUUCUUAAGUAUAAUGAUCCAUACUAUUUCUAGAACUGAAGAAAAAUGGCAUGUGCAGUUCAAAGAAGUUUUCUUCUUCAUUCUAUGCUCCUGGCUAUGAAUCUUGGCUCUUAUGUGACCUUUCAAGGGACUUGCUCACCUCUUACCUGCUCCCCUGAUGGGGCAUCUUGGUUUCAAGAUACUGUGAAUUCUAGCACCUAUAAAGGAGAUUGGUAAGUAAUAAGACCUGGAG
Sturnus vulgaris (Common starling) is the source of this 2427-nucleotide non-coding RNA. The record is from RefSeq and is a predicted model, not a curated record. NCBI's taxonomy places the organism in Eukaryota, Metazoa, Chordata, Aves, Passeriformes, Sturnidae.